RNAcentral lists this ribosomal RNA (211 nucleotides) under Duganella qianjiadongensis. RNAcentral's name for it is "partial 23S ribosomal RNA". It matches the Rfam family "Bacterial large subunit ribosomal RNA", at positions 2738 to 2925 of the family's 2925-position model. The record is from RNAcentral. Lineage: Bacteria; Pseudomonadati; Pseudomonadota; Betaproteobacteria; Burkholderiales; Oxalobacteraceae. RNAcentral also lists the same sequence under 1 other name.
UUGCCGGGUAGCUAAGUCUGGAAGAGAUAACCGCUGAAAGCAUCUAAGCGGGAAACUUGCCUUAAGAUGAGAUUUCCCAGAGCCUUGAGCUCUUUGAAGGGUCGUUCGAGACCAGGACGUUGAUAGGCUGGGUGUGGAAGUGCAGUAAUGCAUUAAGCUAACCAGUACUAAUUGCCCGUACGGCUUGUCCCUAUAACCUUAGCAGGAUAUA